GUUGAACGCUGGCGGCAUGCCUUACACAUGCAAGUCGAACGGCAGCGACGGGGGCAACCCUGGUGGCGAGUGGCGAACGGGUGAGUAAUACAUCGGAACGUGCCCAGUAGUGGGGGAUACGCCCGGCGAAAGGCCGGAUUAAUACCGCAUACGACCUACGGGUGAAAGCGGGGAUCGCAAGACCUCGUGCUACCGGAGCGGCCGAUGUCAGAUUAGGUUGUUGG
This 224-nucleotide ribosomal RNA is filed under the name uncultured bacterium. Its description in RNAcentral is "partial 16S ribosomal RNA". It matches the Rfam family "Bacterial small subunit ribosomal RNA", at positions 28 to 252 of the family's 1533-position model. The record is from RNAcentral.